This is a long non-coding RNA of Mus musculus (house mouse), 4431 nucleotides long. RefSeq annotates it as predicted gene, 57212. The transcript has 3 exons. The record is from RefSeq and is a predicted model, not a curated record. NCBI's taxonomy places the organism in Eukaryota, Metazoa, Chordata, Mammalia, Rodentia, Muridae.
GAGAGAGAGAGAGAGAGAGUCCAGGCAGACGGGCGCUGGACCCCUCCACCUCUCCUCUGAAGCUGUUGCCAUGGCCACUGGGGACUUUUGAUGCGAAGCGCGAUGACCCCCUCCUCUCUCUUUCCCCGCUCGCUUUCAGGAUGACAUCACAGACGUCCGCGUCCCUGACAGGCCACCCGCAGGCUGGUCUCGGCUUUAAAGCAGCUGUGCCCCUGUCCCCUCGAAGUCCAGCGGGCAGCCACCGUGUCCACGUCUGGGAGUGUGCCGGGACCUUCCUACCUCCUCUCGGUGUGAACAUUGCGGUGGACAGCACAGACGACCGGAGACAGACAGGGCUCCUCUUGGAAGGGCUGCCAACACCAAGUCUCAACUGGAUUCAGGAGGUCAAGUCCCAGGAUGCCCGGGAGGGAAGGGAAAGGAUCUGCUCAGCCACAGGUGCGAUGUCUCCCUUUCUCCAAACUGGGGGUGGGAGGGAGGGGGUGCGGGUGGUGGCGGUGGCUGGGAAAGCCGUUCUGGAGCUAGCGCUGGGCUCUCCUGCCAGCUGGAGUAAGAGGGUUGCAUGUGAGCUAAGCCCCGCGCUGCCGCUGGGUCUCUGGUGCCUUUCGCCCAGACUCUAGGUGUAGCCGACCUGUUGCCUGCGGGAAAGCGUCCCACAAGAUCUGAGAGCCAGGAGUCCGUGCUGAAGUCAGCCGCGAUCUUACGGGCGAGCAUCCCCAGAGUCCAGCGCCCACGGGAGGAAGACGUACACGGUGCCGGGAAAAGCAGCGGGUAACCAUCCCAGGACAACCAACCCCUUUUCUUACCCUUUGUGUCAUUAGUUGGUGGCCCAACGAACCCGGGGAAAGGGAGUGUGAGGGCUGGGGAAGUAGCUGAUGAAAAGGCGCAAACAGGGCAGAUAAAUCCCAGUCUUGCAUCUCCACUCACUGGGAUCCUGAAUGGAGCUCGGGAUCCAGCAGUAUUGGAGGUCCGUACAGCUUCAGCACCACUCAUUAGGCACCUUCAGAAGCUGGACAGCACCGGGGCCGCAGAGUACCAGAGGUCGGUUCCUGGGCUCUUCCCAAGACGCCAGGCCCAUGUCCACAAUUCCAGACUCCAUUCAACCGAGGCCAAGAGGGGAGCCCGCUGAAGACCCUCCUCACCUUGGACACACAUUCUGACGACAGCCUGGAGGAUGCCUGAACGUGAGUAUAGUCUCCUCGGUUUGUCUCCCCUUCAUUCUUGGGAAUACACAGACACCUGAGCAGGAUGCUGACCUGAAGGGCCACCUCCUUUCCCCACCUCCCACCCUGUGCUGAAUCCAACUGGGACCUUAGGCUCCAAUAAAAGACUGGAUUAGGGACUCUGAUUUCUCAGAGGUUAGUCAUGCUUGAUUGAGGCAGAGGCUCAAGACUAAACCUUCCUGGAGCGUAUCUGGAAAAGCCCCCUAACUUCUCUCCUAGAACGAUAGUUCAGAUCCUGUACCCACCCCCACCCCAGAUUCAUCCUCCAUAUCUAAAGCUUCAUAUUCUCCAGCCUGCCUCACAAAAGAUACACGAAGGCUCAAUUAAUUGUUUCCAUGGUUACGUGGAGUGGCCAUACUGAGGAUUCCUAUCACCCAUUACUGUCAUGAAGUAAAAGAGAGGAGGGGUUUGGGGAUGGUUGUCAUGGAGGAAACCAUGGAAACCAGGGUUGCUAAGGGGACAGCUCUAAAUUCAGAGGAAAGAAAUGAGAAGUGGGGAGUGACACUUGGUGGGGGCUCAAGGGCAGGUCACUUUUCCAAGAGUCUGUCAUCGGAGACUGACAAUGUAGCAAUGGUUUGGACACCUUUCUCCAACUCAGAGAGAAGCUGGAGUUUAAGAAUUUCAGAGACCCCGAAUCACCUGUCCUCAGGCCAAAACCAUCAUCACUAGAUCUAUAAGAAGAAAACCAAGGGGACCCGGAUUGGUCCCAGUCGCCCCACGCAUUGCUGCUCUAUCUCUGGACUCUGCCUCUUUGCCACUGUUUUACCAGGCUAGUUAGUAAGAACGCCCACUCGUUCAGGGAGCUUAGCAUAGGGCAGUGACUCAGCUGGUGGUGUUUGAGUCAGGGGUGCUCAAAUCUAGGUCUGCAAGGUGGUCUACGGAUGGCUCCUGAGAGUCUCUCCAAAGUCUUCUGUCAUGUCCUUUAGUGUGUCUCUUGUCACCUGAAGGUCCCCAAGAAAGUCCAAUUUCCCCCCAGAAGUACUGUAAGUAUCAACCUCUCUUACGACCAGCAGCUCAGUUAGACUUGUUCUUUUGUGUGCACUGAGGCAGGCUCUGCACCUCAGAGUGGUCCCGGGUUUGGUGACACAGUCCCUUGCGUCCUCCGCAAAGAAGCCCAGUCAGGCCGCCGCAGAGCUGUGCUCCAGCCCAGGCUAUGGGCUCUGAAGGGGUUGGAAUGAGAAGUUUCUCCCAGCAUCCCCACCUCAUCUGUCUCUGAGGGUCUCCAUGUCCAGGCAAGCCCUUCCCCAGUCUAGAUGAACAGAAUGAAUCAAAGGAUGGGGGAGGGGUAGAGCAAAGAGGAAGAGCUGGCAAUUAAAAAGCAAAAGAAUUAAAAGCACCAAUCGGGAAGAGUAAUUAUCCUUCAGCUGCCGCAGAAAUACAAUUAGGGCCAUGCGCUCUUGGAGCUGCCAGGAUAUUGUGGCUUUUCCUAAUUAAGGAGCGGAUGUGCCCUGCCCGUGCAAUUAGAGGCUGGCCCAGGCAGCGGGGGCCUCGCCUACCUUCUAUCAGCGUAGUGAAAGGGCAAUUAACUGUACAGCCUACAUCCCUGGCCCACUCUCCCACUUGACUUUGAAUUGUGACUCAUGGACCCUGUGAGGAUGUUCAUCUUGGGCCCUGGGGACCCUUGGGAAGGGAAGAAGCAGCCUGGGACGGGCACUACCUGGCUUGCUUUUUAGGCUUUAUAAUGGACGAAGAAGAUAUAGAGAGAUGAGCUGUCCACCUGCUUCCCGUGAGAGGAAGUGUGUUCAGGGUGGAAAAUAGAACACUCCAGGAAGGGGGGAAAGUAAGAAAAUCAUUUCUCCCCAAUUUUGAACAGAGACUCUAGGGAACUGUAUGAGCAGGGGGCAGGCAGGGUGCAAUGAGAAUAUGGGCAAAGUCAGGGGAGCAGGCACUGAAGCUGGCCUUCCCUACAGGAGUGUCCGGCUGAUGGCAGGUGGUGCGCCAAGGCCCGGGGAAGGUGGCUAGCGUGACCACGGUCGGGCCAGCCCCGUUUGGAAGACUAGUGAUUUUGUUGUUGUGUCUCUGUAUCCAACAACAAGUCCCAGUCUGCCACAUGGUGCUGGUCAUUUCAGCAGCUGUGUGGGGCGGGGGGAGCCCCAUUUCUGGAUAUAUUUUUUUCCUGCUUUCUAUGUUUCCAACAAACCCCUCCAGAAACUACCAGAAUGCCCAUCUCUCUCUCACACUUCAGUUGAGGAAACCUCAGAAGGACUUCUCCAGAAACAAGGACAUUUGGCUCUAGAGUGGGACAGGGGACAGGAUGCCCGUCCUCUGGGAGUGGUGGGCUGCUCUGCACCUGCAGACCCUCGUUUAUCCUGCAUGUUCCUCCUCCGUGAGAGACCACCACCCGAGGCUCACGGAGGGCGAAUGACGGUGUGGACCAGCAGGGGAGCAUGUGCUCCUAGCCCCUAGCCUCAGGGUCCAGGUGCAAGGGGCCACCGGAUCUUGGCUGGCCUGGAGUGUCUGUGCCUGCCUGUGGGAAGGAAGGUUAUGGAUACAACUUGCUAUCUGCCAAUAAACAGAAUUUUGGAAGCCCUGUCCCCAGCCCGUGCUUGGAGGCCAUCCUUGAUGGCAAAAGUGGUCAAUUCCCUGUACAUGUGCUUCAGUUCCAGCACUGGGAAAAGCAGAGGCAGGUGGAUUUUUGUGAGUUAAGGCCAACCUGGUUGCAUAGUAAACCUGUCUCAAAUGGAAGAAAGAAAGAUAGAAAAAAAGAAAUGCACACACACACACACACACACACACACACACACACACACACACACCCUGCUCCGUCCUUUUGCUGGGUAUCACACAGCCCAGUCUGGCCUUAAAUCCUCUAUGUAGCUGAGGGUGAUCUUGAACUCCUGACCUUCCUGCUUCCAUCCCGAGUGCUGGGAUUGCAGUCAUGUGCAUAACCAUACUUGGGGAACAAACCUACAGCUUCAGCCAAAAGAAGCAAGCAUGAGCCCUUCGGUUCCUUCACUUUUACUUCCUCAUCCUUCCCUCCCUCCCUCCCUCCCCUCCCUCCCUCCCUCCCUCCCUCCCUCCCUCUCUCCCUCUCUCCUUCCUAACUUUCUUUCUUGUUCUUUUGUAGAACCAGAGAUAGAACCUAGGGCCUUGCAUAUGCUAAGCAAGUGCGGUCCCCAAUCUUGCCCUGUCUGGGAGAUCACCUUGCCAAAAAGGUGGAUACCAAGUCCUAAUGUUGACACCCUUGGUAGAAAUAAACUUCUGAGCAAUA